RNAcentral lists this transfer RNA (74 nucleotides) under Caystrus obscurus. Its description in RNAcentral is "tRNA-Lys". It matches the Rfam family "tRNA". From Rfam's summary of the family: Transfer RNA (tRNA) molecules are approximately 80 nucleotides in length. The record is from RNAcentral. Lineage: Eukaryota; Metazoa; Arthropoda; Insecta; Hemiptera; Pentatomidae.
CAUUAAGUGGCUGAAAAUAUUUAAGCAUUGGUCUCUUAAACCAAAAUAUAGUAAUUUAAAUCUACUCUUAAUGA